Molecule: ribosomal RNA, 317 nt
Filed under: Chaetoceros curvisetus
Lineage: Eukaryota; Bacillariophyta; Thalassiosirophyceae; Chaetocerotales; Chaetocerotaceae
Description: partial Bacterial small subunit ribosomal RNA
Rfam family: Bacterial small subunit ribosomal RNA
Source: RNAcentral
AGUGGGGAAUAUUGGACAAUGGGCGAAAGCCUGAUCCAGCCAUGCCGCGUGUGUGAAGAAGGUCUUCGGAUUGUAAAGCACUUUAAGUUGGGAGGAAGGGUUGUACGCUAAUACCGUGCAAUUUUGACGUUACCGACAGAAUAAGCACCGGCUAACUCUGUGCCAGCAGCCGCGGUAAUACGGAGGGUGCAAGCGUUAAUCGGAAUUACUGGGCGUAAAGCGCGCGUAGGUGGUUUGUUAAGUUGGAUGUGAAAUCCCCGGGCUCAACCUGGGAACUGCAUUCAAAACUGACUGACUAGAGUAUGGUAGAGGGUGGU